RNAcentral lists this long non-coding RNA (574 nucleotides) under Homo sapiens (human). RNAcentral's name for it is "novel transcript". Lineage: Eukaryota; Metazoa; Chordata; Mammalia; Primates; Hominidae. The record is from RNAcentral.
UUUUUCUCUCUCCUCAUUUAAACAGGAUAGCCACUGAGCAAGCCUGUAAGGCUAUUGGUCUGCCCAUUCUGGUUUCUUCACCAAUGAGAAAACUGGGACCUGGGGAGUUUGCAGAAGCCAUCCAAGGGCACCUGCUUCUCACAGCACAGCAGCUUCCUGCAGCCCUCCCUCCUGUCUUGUUUCUCCCUUAAUUGAGAGGAGAGGCCAGAACCAGAUGCAGGCAGUUCCAACAGUAAUGAAUUGCUCUAAGGUGUGGAUCCAAGAACCGGUGACAAGGUCAGGAAAUUCCAUCCCGGGACACUGACCCAACUAAGAGACUGUGCAUGAUGGCUAAGUUCAGAGCUCUGAGGAGAUGGUAAAACUCAUUUGCAACGAAACAAGAUAUUUUCCAACUCUGCAGCCAGCUCCUCUUCCCCUCAGGCUGUGAGUGGAUGCAGCCUGAGUCCUCCCCAGAAGCAGAUCCUGGCGCCAUGCUUUCUGUACAGCCUGCAAAACUGUGCAGAAAGCUGGAAGUGAUGCUCCAGGGAGUUUAUGUCUCCCCAUCUUGACCCACACCAAUACCUGAGGCUCGUUG